Centruroides sculpturatus (bark scorpion) is the source of this 1164-nucleotide long non-coding RNA. RefSeq lists it as uncharacterized. The transcript has 3 exons. NCBI's taxonomy places the organism in Eukaryota, Metazoa, Arthropoda, Arachnida, Scorpiones, Buthidae. The record is from RefSeq and is a predicted model, not a curated record.
CAUCUGUGCUGUUUGCAUAUAUUAUUCUGUCUAAUUUUACUAAUUUUAAUGAAUUAUAAAUAAAAAGGUCUCAAGGUUAUCAUCGUAUAUACUUUACUUUUUCCAUAAUUAUCUUUCAGACUUUUAAGAUUGCCAUUUAUUAUGCAAACAAAAACGAUUUGAAAAUGGUCUUUUCUAUAUUGAACUGUAGUAUCUUGAGUAUUAAUGUUCUCUCAAACUCCCAUCAACAGAAUGAAAGCGUCACAUUUAUAUCUUCUGCCACCAUUAUCAUUACUAGUGGAUAACUCUCUUAUGGCAUGUAAUUCGUCUUCUAGAUAAAAACACCGUCAACACUAGAUUGAAAUGUUCCGCCUUCACAUUUUUUUCCAUUUCGUAAAUGUUGGAAACUGAAAAACUUUAGUCGAUUCUUAUCUUUUCUGCUAUGGAGAGAAGAGAAAUUAGAUGUGAAGCUGUUCUCUUUUCAAUAGAACUAAAGCUUUUCCAUAGUUGAGUGCAACAGAUAACAGGGAAGACAGUAAACUACCUUUUCCAAAGAAGUUUUGUUGAUUGGAAGUCCUGAUCUUCAAUCGAUGACCAGUAAUUCUAGAAAAUGCUGUGAAGAACCCCGAAAAAUGCAAUAAAGGUUAUAGAAUUUUAAAUAAAGCAUAUAGAAAAGUAACAUAAGAAACCGCAAAUUUCCAAACAGAGAGGAAAAAGAAAACUAAUUAUCAUCCUGAGAGAGCAUAUUGCUUAUUCCCAGAAGGACAAAGGAGCUAGCAAGUCGACAGUCGUUUCGACAGGUAUAACAAAUGUGAUGAAUGAACCAACUUCGGUCUUAUUUACAUAGAAAUUACCUCAACGAAAUAGGAACUCUUUUUUUUUAUCUUUCUGCGUUCAAAUGUUCUUAAAUUAUCGAAGAAGAAAAGAAAAAUCCAUCGCUUGCUAUAAACGAACGAAAAACUUUCGUGUGAUGGAAAAUAUGCAAGACAAAUACCUUACAGAAUUUAUAAUUUCCAUUCUAAGCUCCACUGACAGAAAUAAAUGGAAUUAAAAAAAUAAAAAAAUGAAGUAAAUUAUUUAUAAGUGCGAAACGCGUUUAAAUAAAUUAAAUUAAUAAGAGUAACCAAAGAGCCUUUCUUAAUUAAGUUUAUUUUAUAUAGACUUUUAGAAAUUACUAGAAGGAGA